CCUACGGGAGGCAGCAGUGAGGAAUAUUGGUCAAUGGGAGAGAUCCUGAACCAGCCAAGCCGCGUGAGGGAAGACGGCCCUAUGGGUUGUAAACCUCUUUUGUCGGAGAACAAAACCCGGGACGAGUCCCGGACUGCGUGUAUCCGAAGAAAAAGCAUCGGCUAACUCCGUGCCAGAAGCCGCGGUAAUACGGAGGAUGCGAGCGUUAUCCGGAUUUAUUGGGUUUAAAGGGUGCGUAGGCGGUCUGUUAAGUCAGUGGUAAAAUUUUGGGGCUCAACCCCGCCGAGCCGUCGGAACUGGGGGCCUUGAGUGCGGCAGAGGCAGGCGGAAUGCGCGGUGUAGCGGUGAAAUGCAUAGAUAUCGCGCAGAACCCCGAUUGCGAAGGCAGCGUGCCGUGCCGCCACUGACGCUGAGGCACGAAAGCGCGGGGAUCGAACAGGAUUAGAUACCCCAGUAGUC
Molecule: ribosomal RNA, 459 nt
Filed under: uncultured bacterium
Lineage: Bacteria
Description: partial 16S ribosomal RNA
Rfam family: Bacterial small subunit ribosomal RNA
Source: RNAcentral